Molecule: ribosomal RNA, 443 nt
Filed under: uncultured bacterium
Lineage: Bacteria
Description: partial 16S ribosomal RNA
Rfam family: Bacterial small subunit ribosomal RNA
Source: RNAcentral
CCUACGGGUGGCAGCAGUGAGGAAUAUUGGGCAAUGGUCGCAAGCCUGACCCAGCAACGCCGCGUGAAGGAAGACGGCUUUCUGGUUGUAAACUUCUUUUCUGAGGGACGAAGAAAGUGACGGUACCUCAGGAAUAAGCCACGGCUAACUACGUGCCAGCAGCCGCGGUAAUACGUAGGUGGCAAGCGUUAUCCGGAUUUAUUGGGUGUACAGGGCGUGUAGGCGGGAAAGCAAGUCAGAUGUUAAAACUCAGGGCUCAACCCUCAGCCUGCAUUUGAAACUGUUUUUCUUGAGUGCUGGAGAGGCAAGCGGAAUGCCGGGUGUAGCGGUGAAAUGCGUAGAUAUAAGGAGGAACACCAGUUGCGAAGGCGGAUUGCUGGACAGUAACUGACGCUGAGGCGCGAAAGCGUGGGGAGCAAACAGGAUUAGAUACCCCAGUAGUC